UAAUACAGAGGGUGCAAGCGUUAAUCGGAAUUACUGGGCGUAAAGCGUGCGUAGGUGGGCUGAUGUGUUGGCUGUGAAAUCCCCGAGCUUAACUUGGGAAAGCCAGCCAAAACUGUCAGUCUAGAGUAUAGUAGAGGAAAGUGGAAUUUCCGGUGUAGCGGUGAAAUGCGUAGAUAUCGGAAGGAACAUCAGUGGCGAAGGCGACUUUCUGGACUAAUACUGACACUGAGGCACGAAAGCGUGGGGAGCAAACAGGAUUAGAUACCCUGGUAGUCCACGCCGUAAACGAUGAGAACUAGCUGUUGGGAGCAGAUACUGUUUCUAGUGGCGCAGCUAACGCGAUAAGUUCUCCGCCUGGGGAGUACGGCCGCAAGGUUA
This 378-nucleotide ribosomal RNA is filed under the name uncultured bacterium. RNAcentral's name for it is "bacterial SSU rRNA". It matches the Rfam family "Bacterial small subunit ribosomal RNA", at positions 521 to 896 of the family's 1533-position model. The record is from RNAcentral.